AGCAGCCGCGGUAAUUCCAGCUCCAAUAGCGUAUAUUAAAGUUGUUGCAGUUAAAAAGCUCGUAGUUGAAUUUCGGGAUUAGUACGUUGGUCGUGCCUUGGUACGUACUGAUGUAACUGAUUCCUCCCUUCUGACGAACCGUUAUGCCAUUAAUUUGGUGUGGCGGGAAAUCAGGACUGUUACUUUGAAAAAAUUAGAGUGUUUAAAGCAGGCUCGCGCCUGAAUACAUUAGCAUGGAAUAAUGAAAUAGGACGUUAAUCCUAUUUUGUUGGUUUCUAGGAUCGACGUAAUGAUUAAUAGGGAUAGUUGGGGGCAUUAGUAUUCAAUUGUCAGAGGUGAAAUUCUUGGAUUUAUUGAAGACUAACUACUGCGAAAGCAUUUGCCAAGGAUGUUUUCAUUAAUCAAGAACGAAAGUUAGGGGAUCGAAGACGAUCAGAUACCGUCGUAGUCUUAACCAUAAACUAUGCCGACUAGGGAUCGGAUGAUGUUAAUUUUUAAUGACUCAUUUCGGCGCCUUACG
Molecule: ribosomal RNA, 520 nt
Filed under: uncultured Glomus
Lineage: Eukaryota; Fungi; Glomeromycota; Glomeromycetes; Glomerales; Glomeraceae
Description: SSU rRNA
Rfam family: Eukaryotic small subunit ribosomal RNA
Source: RNAcentral